This 75-nucleotide transfer RNA is filed under the name Candidatus Aceula meridiana. Its description in RNAcentral is "tRNA-Pro". It matches the Rfam family "tRNA". Rfam says of the family: Transfer RNA (tRNA) molecules are approximately 80 nucleotides in length. Their secondary structure includes four short double-helical elements and three loops (D, anti-codon, and T loops). The record is from RNAcentral. Lineage: Bacteria; Pseudomonadati; Candidatus Omnitrophota.
CGGGGAGUAGCGCAGCCUGGUUAGCGCGUCUGCUUUGGGAGCAGAAAGUCGAGAGUUCGAAUCUCUCCUCCCCGA